RNAcentral lists this ribosomal RNA (1345 nucleotides) under uncultured bacterium. Its description in RNAcentral is "bacterial SSU rRNA". It matches the Rfam family "Bacterial small subunit ribosomal RNA", at positions 28 to 1381 of the family's 1533-position model. The record is from RNAcentral.
GACGAACGCUGGCGGCGUGCUUAACACAUGCAAGUCGAACGAUGAAGCGGUGCUUGCACCGUGGAUUAGUGGCGAACGGGUGAGUAAUACGUGAGUGACCUACCUUUGACUCUGGGAUAAGCCUGGGAAACUGGGUCUAAUACCGGAUACGACCAAUCUCUGCAUGGGGUGUUGGUGGAAAGCGUUAUGGAGUGGUUUUAGAUGGGCUCACGGCCUAUCAGCUUGUUGGUGAGGUAAUGGCUUACCAAGGCGACGACGGGUAGCCGGCCUGAGAGGGUGACCGGCCACACUGGGACUGAGACACGGCCCAGACUCCUACGGGAGGCAGCAGUGGGGAAUAUUGCACAAUGGGCGCAAGCCUGAUGCAGCGACGCCGCGUGAGGGAUGACGGCCUUCGGGUUGUAAACCUCUGUUAGCAUCGAAGAAGCGAAAGUGACGGUAGGUGCAGAGAAAGCGCCGGCUAACUACGUGCCAGCAGCCGCGGUAAUACGUAGGGCGCGAGCGUUGUCCGGAAUUAUUGGGCGUAAAGAGCUUGUAGGCGGUUGGUCGCGUCUGCUGUGAAGGCCGGGGCUUAACUCCGGUUUUGCAGUGGGUACGGGCUAACUAGAGUGCAGUAGGGGAGACUGGAAUUCCUGGUGUAGCGGUGGAAUGCACAGAUAUCAGGAGGAACACCGAUGGCGAAGGCAGGUCUCUGGGCUGUAACUGACGCUGAGAAGCGAAAGCAUGGGGAGCGAACAGGAUUAGAUACCCUGGUAGUCCAUGCCGUAAACGUUGGGCACUAGGUGUGGGGGACAUUCCACGUUUUCCGCGCCGUAGCUAACGCAUUAAGUGCCCCGCCUGGGGAGUACGGCCGCAAGGCUAAAACUCAAAGGAAUUGACGGGGGCCCGCACAAGCGGCGGAGCAUGCGGAUUAAUUCGAUGCAACGCGAAGAACCUUACCAAGGCUUGACAUGCAUUAGAUCGCGUCAGAGAUGGCGUUUCCCUUCGGGGCUGGUGUACAGGUGGUGCAUGGUUGUCGUCAGCUCGUGUCGUGAGAUGUUGGGUUAAGUCCCGCAACGAGCGCAACCCUCGUUCUAUGUUGCCAGCGGUUCGGCCGGGGACUCAUAGGAGACUGCCGGGGUCAACUCGGAGGAAGGUGGGGAUGACGUCAAAUCAUCAUGCCCCUUAUGUCUUGGGCUUCACGCAUGCUACAAUGGCCGGUACAGAGGGUUGCGAUACUGUGAGGUGGAGCUAAUCCCUUAAGGCCGGUCUCAGUUCGGAUUGGGGUCUGCAACUCGACCCCACGAAGUCGGAGUCGCUAGUAAUCGCAGAUCAGCAACGCUGCGGUGAAUACGUUCCCGGGCCU